Molecule: long non-coding RNA, 2701 nt
Organism: Cucurbita moschata (crookneck pumpkin)
Lineage: Eukaryota; Viridiplantae; Streptophyta; Magnoliopsida; Cucurbitales; Cucurbitaceae
Exons: 3
Source: RefSeq, a predicted model, not a curated record
AGUAUCACAAAUGCAGAAAAGGUAAUUGAAAUGAUGGGUGCCUCCUUACCGGAAAUUUUCCCAGGUGUGUUUGUCUUGUAUAUCUACUGAUCUUCUUGCAAUGUCAUAAUCUCAUGUGUACAAUUAAAAAUGAACAGAUUUGUGUGUCCUUGAAGAUUGUUCUAAAGUAAACAAUAGUACAGAGGUCACUUCCUGAAAAGGAACUCCUACAUUUAACCUAUUGCUAGGUUGUUUUCUAGAAACUCCCACUUAGAUAUUCCAGUAUGCACUUAAACUACAAGAAAAUUUCUGACGCUGGAAAUUUCUGUUGUCUUAUCUAUAUGAACGUGAUGUCUACUCUAUCAGUAAGAUUUACCGUUGAAUAUUUGGAACUUACACCCCUUCCGGUGAAUUUUUAUUCCACUGAUUUUGUUUCUUGGCUUAGAUUUUUGUCUGCAGUCGGAAUCUUUAUUCUAGUGUUUGGUUUGACUGGAUUUGCUUUGAUCCUUAUAUACGGGUUAUUAGUCUAAUUUGCAUCCGGAUCUUAAUAUGGUAAUCUUGUGGAAAAAACUUUUUCUCUAUCAAUAUUUUGAUUUACAGUUAUUUUCUCAACUACCAUACUGGAUAAUUUUAUUUAUAGUUUGAUCCUUGAAGUAAUAUCACCUUAUGUUUCUCUAUCAAUAUCAAAUUCUUAGUAUUUGAUAAUUUUAUUUGUUAAUACUAACUUAGUAUUAACAAAUUCUUCAUCAACUUCCGCUUUGGAAUUUAGACGUUGAUUUUAUUUCUUCGACAUCCACUUAAGGACACUAGUGUUUGUUUCUUUUUCUCUCCCGCCACAUGUCUCCAUCAAGUUCAUCAAUUUCUCUAGUUAAAAAUGAAUGAAUACCGCAGAAGAAAGUAUAAAUGACUUAGCUUUUAGCGUGUCUACCAAAACUCCGUGAUAUUUUCUUUACAUCACAUUCGGAGUACCAUAAAUAGACAUGACAAUGGUAAGUGUGUUCGUGGUUGAAUCAGAUUUUCUUUAGUUAGAUCUUGAAUAUAAGUACCUGGGUAGCAAUGGUUGAAGAAAAUUGCCGAAGAGCCUUGUGUAAAGGGGCGGGGAGGCCAGAGUGAAGGAAAGUGCAGGUAACUCAAAUAUUCUGAUGUGCGUGCGUGGAUUGGUGAAAAUCUUUCCCUUUUGCUAUUUUGCCUGUCUAUUUGUUUACUGAUUUAAUUUAUGCUCAGUGAGUCAACAUGAUUGAUAUUUCAGGCAUUUAAAAGUUCAUCUAUCUCGUUGUUGUCUUUCCUCUAAAAAAUGAGUACAGUAGUUCAAAUUGAAAGUGGCUAAGUUAUACUGCUACUAGUGACCAUAUGUAUAUAAUAUAUAUAUAUAUAGCGCUAUGUUGUUAUCAUGUGCCUCACCUUUUAGUAUGAGCUCUUAUUUUUCCUAAGAGUAUUAAAUAAAUUGAGUUUUUGAAAAAUUGGUGACAGAAAGACGAUGAACCGUCUUAUUCAUUUAGAGAGUAUCUAAAAUAUAUUAUUAGAAAAUAUUGUGGUAUGUCCAAUCAUUUGCCAAUUGCCAUUUGCUUGCCAUAAUCCUUGUUGAGGCAUGGGGGGCGUUGCUUUAUGGAAUAUUUUAUUGGUAAGAACCUCUGAUUAUCCUAAAAGAUGGACGUUUUGUGAUUUUCCUCUUACCUUUAAGCUGUAAAUUGAUUGCCAUCUAAUCACUGCUCUUAUGUCAAGGACAGAGGAAUAAACCUUGCUGAACCCAACCUGGAAAGAUUCGCCGGGAGGAAAAGGUGUCGCCAGAGUUCCUGACCGACUUUGCAUAAAACAAAUAAAGGGUGGAAAAGCAAAGGGAAUUAGGUUGGUGAGAAGAUAUUUCAGUGGACCAUUGGGAUAUUUGGCUGCCACGUUUGCACGGUACAAUAAUAACCCUUAUUAAUUUACCUUAUUUUAUGUUCCUUGCUUUGUUUUCCUUUAGAAAGUAGCAUUUGAUGUCAGCUCCUCUUUCAAUAAUUAAUCAUAUUAUAUAUGAAAUGCAGCAUCAGUCCUUCCCAUUGUGUUGCAUAUUCUGUGUUGCUAAAUUAUAAAGUUAGUUUGAUGUGAACAUUUUGCUUCAUUAACUGACAAAUUCUCUCUGAAAAUGUUGAGAAUAAUAAGAAGAAUUAGAUUUUAAUUAUUUGCAUGAAUGUCAGCAUUAGUAGUUUAAUUAUGGUCCAUACCCUAUAUUAUUUCUUUUUACCAAUAGAGCCCCCCACAAUCCAACUAAUUAAUUUAUGAAUCCCCCCACUCCCACAAGAAAGGUAAAGUGUUGAAAAGAUAUUGCAAAAAAGGGAUCAUUUUAGCUUUUUCUCCCUUCUUUUGGCACUAAUUUUUUUUACUUUUAUUGCAUCCAUGUCUUUUGAUGAAUAUAUAUUAUAAAUUGGGUGGCUGUUUGAUUGGAUUAUGGGUCGGUGUUUCUUGACCAAGUUGCAUUUAUUCAUUCAUUUGAUAGAAUAUUAAUCAUGAUUAUUAUAGCAUUUAGUUGGGUAUUUAGCAUUUUAAUCUUCAGUUAUGCUCCCAUUAACUACUUCAAUUGAUUGGGGACCCAUUGAUUGAAUCUGAUUUCACUUUGAAUUUCAACUUUUUUAAAAGUCUUGUUUUUAGAUAAUUGCAAUUUUUUAAAAGGGGUUUGUUUCUAGGUAAUUGCAACUGGAAGAUGGUGGAUUGUUUUUUUUGGUUUUUUUAAUUUUAAUCUUUC